RNAcentral lists this long non-coding RNA (1975 nucleotides) under Setaria viridis. RNAcentral's name for it is "long non-coding RNA (SVIR_LNC007970)". Lineage: Eukaryota; Viridiplantae; Streptophyta; Magnoliopsida; Poales; Poaceae. The record is from RNAcentral.
GGAAGGUGAUGAGAUUGGAGUCGAUUGAGAGAGAGGGUCCCCGCCGGCGCCGUUCAGGGUGUGUUGUGGGGCGGUCCCCAACAUACUUCAUGGUGCAGUAUAGGUAAAAUUCCACAAUACCAACAAGGGGCAGGCCCCGAACACCGCGCAGGACCCAGUUGUAAACCUCAGCUAGGUUUGUCAUCAUUAUACCCCACCGUGCAUCUCCAUCAUCAAAGAGUAAUGACCACUUUUCCUUUGGUUCAUUCUCAAUCCACUGUGAGAAGCUCUUGAUGGAUCUUUCCCGUCUGCGCGUGAUAUUUGGACCGUCGAGCCCGACGUCCUCCAGAGAUAUUUGUUGUAGCUGAUCUUGUACUUGAACUUCUCCUCUAUGGCACAAACAAUGGACUUGGGCUCGAAGCUAGGAUUUUGCACUAUCUGAUGAUACAUGUAUUGAGCAACAAAAUCAACAGUGAGGUUGCAGUGUGUUCCUUCCAAUUCAGCCAGCAAGCAUUCGUGCUCAACCACUCUAGUCACCUCCCACUAAUCCUUCCAUUUCCCCUUGUAUGCUUGCACCCUGAAUGGGCAAUCAUUUCGCACACAGCGGACAUCAUACACCUUCGGCCUACUCUUUUCUACUCUGAACUGACGCUGCAAAGACAAAGUGGACUAUCUCUUAAUAGGCACUUUCACUUCAUCCCCACUUUGGUACAAAGCCCCCAGGCAUACCUCAUUCUCCCUAUAAUCCUAAGGAAUAUUUUCCCCAAUAUUGACUUGUAGGGCGGAAUGGUCAUAAUUUGACCAAUUUUGCGGUACAGGAUAAGCAUCUUCCUCAUCGGACGAGUCACCAUCCACGGCACCAUUGGCCUCCUCUCCUUCCAUCUCCAGCUGCUCUACUAACUUAGGAAUUUCUUCCCCCUCAUCAGCCUCCCCAUUUGGUGCGAGGGUUCUCUGCAUCUCCCCCUUCUUAUUCAUCGUAAUCAAGUUCUUCGUUUCCACCCUCAGUACUCUGCACAUCUUCUUCUGCUUCAACUUCAUCACCUCCUACUUCUUCUUCAAUAUGACUGCUAGAUCCACCCUUCAUGAACAGUUGAACAUACCAUAUGAUUGGUAAACUUUUUCUCGUGCAACCAUUUAUGUAAGUCCGGUAGCUCGAAAUUCCUUCCAGCGGAAGCAACUUCCAAAAAUUUAUGUCGGGCCAUCUUUUGACUACAACCCUCACAUACACAUCUACUUGAUCUCUAUCAACACCAAGGUCCCUACAAAGCUACUUGCAAAUGCCCCCCAAGUUCUCUCUCUUGCUCUUGGAACACAUUUGGUGAAACAGGGAAAUCCACUCAAAUCUACCCCUUCUGGAUCAUAUCUAACCUCCCCCCGGCCCAUAGAACACUUGAAAAUAUAAACUAUCCGACAUGCCUGCCAACAUACAUGAAACGGGUAGUCCAAAUUAAUCUCAGCAAUAUAUAUCAAUUAACUACAAUAACGACUUCAAUUCAAUAAACAAACAACUAUGUAACACUAAACUAAGUUUACUAACUAAAUUUAUUAUAAGCUUCUACAAGAACUAAUAUACACGACAAAUAAAUCUCAGAUGCACUAGAUAUUUCUAAAUCUCAGAUCCACUAAGAUUUUUUAAAUUUACUGUGAUCUAAAAUAAAGCUAUUGUACUACCUAAGGUAAAUCUACUAUACCACCUAAGCUAAUUCUACUAUACCACCGAAGCUAAAUCUAUUUUACUGUCUAACCUAAAUCUAUUGUACUAAGCUACAUUUUAUUAUAUCUAAUUUCAGCUAAAUGUUUCUAAAUCUCAGAUUCACUAGCUAUUUCUAAAUCUCAAAUCCACUAAUAUUUCUAAAUCUAGAUCUAGUCACUACACUAUACUAUCUAAACUACGAGAUUAAAAAAAUUUACCUAGGAACGACGGAAGAAUUUCCUUCCCCCUUCUUCCCUCCUCCUCUCCUUUCUUCCCUCCUCCUCUCCUCUCCUUCUUUUUUUU